This 60-nucleotide small RNA is filed under the name Salmonella enterica. Its description in RNAcentral is "partial RtT sRNA". It matches the Rfam family "RtT RNA", at positions 1 to 60 of the family's 130-position model. From Rfam's summary of the family: This family represents a bacterial cis-regulatory element known as RtT RNA. The record is from RNAcentral. Lineage: Bacteria; Pseudomonadati; Pseudomonadota; Gammaproteobacteria; Enterobacterales; Enterobacteriaceae. RNAcentral also lists the same sequence under 3 other names.
AUUCUACCCAUGUGGGGAAGGAUGAGAAGCUUCGACUAAGGUUCGAUUCGAGCGCAGCGA